GACGAACGCUGGCGGCGUGCUUAACACAUGCAAGUCGAACGGAAAGGCCCUGCUUUUGUGGGGUGCUCGAGUGGCGAACGGGUGAGUAACACGUGAGUAACCUGCCCUUGACUUUGGGAUAACUUCAGGAAACUGGGGCUAAUACCGGAUAGGAGCUCCUGCUGCAUGGUGGGGGUUGGAAAGUUUCGGCGGUUGGGGAUGGACUCGCGGCUUAUCAGCUUGUUGGUGGGGUAGUGGCUUACCAAGGCUUUGACGGGUAGCCGGCCUGAGAGGGUGACCGGCAACAUGGGGACUGAGAUACGGCCAAGACUCAUACGGGAGGCAGCAGUGGGGAAUAUUGCACAAUGGGCGGAGGCAUGAUGAAGCAACGCCGCGUGGGGGAUGACGGCUUUCGGGUGGUAAACCGCUUUCGCCUGUGACGAAGCGUGAGUGACGGUAAUGGGUAAAGAAGCACCGGCUAACUACGU
RNAcentral lists this ribosomal RNA (467 nucleotides) under uncultured bacterium. Its description in RNAcentral is "partial 16S ribosomal RNA". It matches the Rfam family "Bacterial small subunit ribosomal RNA", at positions 28 to 506 of the family's 1533-position model. The record is from RNAcentral.